This is a non-coding RNA of Paramuricea clavata, 1081 nucleotides long. Lineage: Eukaryota; Metazoa; Cnidaria; Anthozoa; Malacalcyonacea; Plexauridae. The record is from the annotation of a GenBank genome assembly.
GCCUUUUUUAGAGAAUGGUUUUUGUGGCGAUUGGGGGGGGGGGCGGUCGCCCCUUAGCCCCCCCUCCCCUUGGUUACGCCACUGUUUCCGUUUCUAAUAAUAAGUUUUAAAUAUUAAUCAGUUACAUUCAAAUAUUAAUCAGUUACAUAGAAAUACAAACUGUAAACGUUGCCUUUGAACAAAAAUACAGGUCCUGAUUUAAUAAUUGAGGACAGGUCAUAGGCGUGUACUUAUCCACAUUCAUCUACAACAUCUUUGACAUGAGGUACAGGUAGCUGGAGAGAUGGUAGCCCGAAGUUAGGCGGCAAGCUGGUCGGCAAUCUGAAGGCCUGUUCCGGGGUUCUGUAUUACCACAGAAUAAACAAAUCUGUUUACUCUGUGGUAUUAAUUAUUAAUAUGCAUUAAAUCAAGGCAGAUUAUCCGUGCUCUCAGACUCAGUAGUUGUCGCACAACCUCUGGUAUGUACUUCCUGUCUUGCAGCUAUAAUGAAUCUAUGUGUGGGGUUGGGCAUAGCCCUAGGACCCCUAGGACAUGAAGUAUAUACCCUACCUCGUCUGCAGGCCAUACAGCCCGUAUGUCCGUUCGCAGGUUUCGUUGCCUUAAUAUUUUUAAAACUCCUGUGCCUUCACAAAUUUGGAAGCUUCGCGUAAUGCAAUUUUGGGUGAUCAUCAGGAUUGUCACGGCAUUCUAUGUAUUCUUCAUAUUUUAUGUCCAGAAGUUCCACUGAAUAGGGGUCCAGGAAUUUGGAGUUUACUCUCAUAGGAUGAUCAUGCUUGCAGGAAUUUUUUUUUUCAAGUUUUCUUCUCGCACGUUUUUUUUUUUAAGGAUAAAGGCUUGCUCGAAUUUUUUGGGGGGAUUUCUGCAACCACCCCCUCAAAUAUCUAAUGGUCCGUCCCUUACUAGACUCUUUUGUCUGGAACAUGAGUGCAAACGCUCUCUACAGGGUGAGUAAAAAAAAACUGACACCUUUGUUAUUCAAAUUAGCAGCGAAGGUAUCAGUUUUUUUUUAUUCACCCUGUAUACAGGGUGUAUAAAAAAAACCUGAACCCUUUCAAAUUAGCUAUAACGUAUUGUAGUAAUU